UGGUAUUCGGAUGCCUGCUGGAGUUAGAGA
RNAcentral lists this non-coding RNA (30 nucleotides) under Mus musculus (house mouse). Lineage: Eukaryota; Metazoa; Chordata; Mammalia; Rodentia; Muridae. The record is from RNAcentral.